GAUGAACGCUGGCGGCGUGCCUAAUACAUGCAAGUCGAGCGAACAGAUGAGGAGCUUGCUCCUCUGACGUUAGCGGCGGACGGGUGAGUAACACGUGGAUAACCUACCUAUAAGACUGGGAUAACUUCGGGAAACCGGAGCUAAUACCGGAUAAUAUAUUGAACCGCAUGGUUCAAUAGUGAAAGACGGUUUUGCUGUCACUUAUAGAUGGAUCCGCGCCGCAUUAGCUAGUUGGUAAGGUAACGGCUUACCAAGGCAACGAUGAGUAGCCGACCUGAGAGGGUGAUCGGCCACACUGGAACUGAGACACGGUCCCGACUCCUACGGGAGGAAGCAGUAGGGAAUCUUCCGGCAUGGGCGAAAGCUUGACGGAGCAACGCCGCGUGAGUGAUGAAGGUCUUCGGAUCGUAAAACUCUGUUAUUAGGGAAGAACAAAUGUGUAAGUAACUAUGCACGUCUUGACGGUACCUAAUCAGAAAGCCACGGCUAACUACGUG
RNAcentral lists this ribosomal RNA (497 nucleotides) under uncultured bacterium. RNAcentral's name for it is "partial 16S ribosomal RNA". It matches the Rfam family "Bacterial small subunit ribosomal RNA", at positions 28 to 507 of the family's 1533-position model. The record is from RNAcentral.